GCCCCUAAAGGAUAACAGCUCAUCCCUCGGUCUUAGGAACCGAGAAAUUCUUGGUGCAACUCCAAGUAGUGGCU
This 74-nucleotide transfer RNA is filed under the name Osteoglossum bicirrhosum (silver arawana). RNAcentral's name for it is "tRNA-Leu(CUN)". The record is from RNAcentral. Lineage: Eukaryota; Metazoa; Chordata; Actinopteri; Osteoglossiformes; Osteoglossidae.